RNAcentral lists this ribosomal RNA (253 nucleotides) under uncultured bacterium. RNAcentral's name for it is "partial 16S ribosomal RNA". It matches the Rfam family "Bacterial small subunit ribosomal RNA", at positions 524 to 776 of the family's 1533-position model. The record is from RNAcentral.
UACGAAGGGAGCUAGCGUUGUUCGGAAUUACUGGGCGUAAAGGGCGCGUAGGCGGCUAUGUAAGUCAGAUGUGAAAGCCCCGGGCUUAACCUGGGAACUGCAUUUGAUACUACUGAGCUUGAGUACGGGAGAGGAUAGUGGAAUUCCCAGUGUAGAGGUGAAAUUCGUAGAUAUUGGGAAGAACACCGGUGGCGAAGGCGGCUAUCUGGACCGUAACUGACGCUGAGGCGCGAAAGCGUGGGGAGCAAACAGG